Molecule: ribosomal RNA, 253 nt
Filed under: uncultured bacterium
Lineage: Bacteria
Description: partial 16S ribosomal RNA
Rfam family: Bacterial small subunit ribosomal RNA
Source: RNAcentral
UACGUAGGGGGCAAGCGUUGUCCGGAUUUAUUGGGCGUAAAGAGCGUGUAGGCGGUUUGGUAGGUCCGCUGUGAAAACUCGAGGCUCAACCUCGAGACGCCGGUGGAAACCAUCAGACUAGAGUCCGGAAGAGGAGAGUGGAAUUCCUGGUGUAGCGGUGAAAUGCGCAGAUAUCAGGAGGAACACCAAUGGCGAAGGCAGCUCACUGGGACGUUACUGACGCUGAGACGCGAAAGCGUGGGGAGCAAACAGG